This 440-nucleotide ribosomal RNA is filed under the name uncultured bacterium. Its description in RNAcentral is "bacterial SSU rRNA". It matches the Rfam family "Bacterial small subunit ribosomal RNA", at positions 340 to 773 of the family's 1533-position model. The record is from RNAcentral.
UACGAAGGCAGCAGUGGGGAAUAUUGCACAAUGGGCGCAAGCCUGAUGCAGCCAUGCCGCGCGUAUGAAGAAGGCCUUCGGGUUGUAAAGUACUUUCAGUCGUGAGGAAGGUGUUAAGGUUAAUAACCUUAGCAAUUGACGUUAGCGACAGAAGAAGCACCGGCUAACUCCGUGCCAGCAGCCGCGGUAAUACGGAGGGUGCGAGCGUUAAUCGGAAUUACUGGGCGUAAAGGGCACGCAGGCGGUUAAUUAAGUUGGAUGUGAAAUCCCCGGGCUUAACCUGGGAAUGGCAUUCAAGACUGGUUAGCUAGAGUCUUGUAGAGGGGGUAGAAUUCCAUGUGUAGCGGUGAAAUGCGUAGAGAUGUGGAGGAAUACCGGUGGCGAAGGCGGCCCCUGGGACAAAGGACUGACGCUCAUGUGCGAAAGCGUGGGGAGCAAAC